AGAGUUCGAAAGCGGCAUCAACCAAGGCCCUGCAAGUCGGCUGAUAACCGAGCUCUCCCGGGCCCCGCCCCCGACAGCAUCAUCCCGACACAUCUGCGAAGAGAAUGCCCACCCGGACGCGGCCCCGUCCCCCAAGUGUGGAUUCGGGUUGUUGGUAAGCUGCCCCGCCUGCGCCGGCCACUGCCCGUGCUGGAGCUGUGGGCGGUUUAUAGGGCCGAGGGCGUAAUCACAAGAUUCCUCUGCCUGCCAAACCUUAGAAGCGGCUUCCCACUUACGCUUGGCUUCGGGGACGGACCUCCAACGCCCGUGGCCCAGCUGAGACUCACCCCACACGGCCAGGAGCUCACCCCGCGCCGGCUGGGCCUCAACCCGUUGUGGCCGGGGCCUCCCCCGACACCGGGUGGGCCUCAGCACGCACGGCCAGGGCCUCCCCCGACACCGGCUGGGCCUCGCCCCGCACCGGCUGGGCCUUCUCCUGACUCUGAGAGCGUCCCGCGGGUCAGAGCGGUGCAGGGUGGGGAGAAGCAGUGUGGCGCGGUGAAAAGAGCGUGGGCUUCGGAAUCAGAGGUCAUGGGUUCGACUCCCGGCUCCGCCACUUGUCAGCUGUGUGACUGUGGGCGAGUCACUUAACUUCUCCGUGCCUCAGUUACCUCAUCUGUAAAAUGGGGAUUAUCCGUGAGCCUCACGUGGGACAAACUGAUUACCCUGUAUCUGCCCCAGCGCUUAGAACAGUGCUCCGCACAUAGUAAGCGCUUAACAAAUACAAAUACCAACAUUAUUACUUGCGGGGAGCUGUAGGACCAGAGUGGAGGCUUCGGGGAACGGGAGGCCGUAGGAGAGGACGUGAGGGGUUGUGUGUGUGGAUUGCGGGCCAGGAGGUGGGAAGACCAAACAGUCUCUGGCCGAGCCUGACGGCCGGCUCGUUUCGCCGUGGGUAAUUCCCCCUUUCAGAGCCACCUCGGACCCGCUCCCUUCCAGCCCCAGCCCUGCCCCGUCGGAGUUGCGG
Molecule: long non-coding RNA, 1006 nt
Filed under: Ornithorhynchus anatinus (platypus)
Lineage: Eukaryota; Metazoa; Chordata; Mammalia; Monotremata; Ornithorhynchidae
Description: lncRNA (ENSOANG00000039539.1)
Source: RNAcentral